AGUGAACGCUGGCGGUAGGCCUAACACAUGCAAGUCGAACGGCAGCACAGUAAGAGCUUGCUCUUACGGGUGGCGAGUGGCGGACGGGUGAGGAAUACAUCGGAAUCUACUUUUUCGUGGGGGAUAACGUAGGGAAACUUACGCUAAUACCGCAUACGACCUACGGGUGAAAGCAGGGGAUCUUCGGACCUUGCGCGAUUGAAUGAGACGAUGUCGGAUUAGCUAGUUGGCGGGGUAAGGGCCCACCAAGGCGACGAUCCGUAGCUGGUCUGAGAGGAUGAUCAGCCACACUGGAACUGAGACACGGUCCAGACUCCUACGGGAGGCAGCAGUGGGGAAUAUUGGACAAUGGGCGCAAGCCUGAUCCAGCCAUACCGCGUGGGUGAAGAAGGCCUUCGGGUUGUAAAGCCCUUUUGUUGGGAAAGAAAAGCAGCAGGUUAAUACCCCGCUGUUCUGACGGUACCCAAAGAAUAAGCACCGGCUAACUUCGUG
Molecule: ribosomal RNA, 492 nt
Filed under: uncultured bacterium
Lineage: Bacteria
Description: partial 16S ribosomal RNA
Rfam family: Bacterial small subunit ribosomal RNA
Source: RNAcentral